GUGCAGUUUGCGUCUGAGAUCAAGAAUGUCCGUGUGGUGAAGGAAAAAUACUGAGGAAGCUCUCAGUAGAAAUGUGCAUUAUGUGCAAAGUCCUUUAAGGAACCAUUACAAUUCACACCGGAAUCAACCCUAUUUUGUCUCAACAAUAGAAAGAGACCAGUCUCUGUGCAACUGGAUCAGCCUACAUUUAAAAAUAUACCUCCAAAUCUAUACGGCUAU
This is a long non-coding RNA of Sorex fumeus (smoky shrew), 219 nucleotides long. RefSeq lists it as uncharacterized. NCBI's taxonomy places the organism in Eukaryota, Metazoa, Chordata, Mammalia, Eulipotyphla, Soricidae. The record is from RefSeq and is a predicted model, not a curated record. The transcript has 3 exons.